CAGCAGCAGCCGCGGGAAUACGGAGGGUGCAAGCGUUAAUCGGAAUUACUGGGCGUAAAGCGCACGCAGGCGGUCUGACAAGUCAGAUGUGAAAUCCCCGGGCUUAACCUGGGAACUGCAUUUGAAACUGUCAGGCUGGAGUCUUGUAGAGGGGGGUAGAAUUCCAGGUGUAGCGGUGAAAUGCGUAGAGAUCUGGAGGAAUACCGGUCGCGAAGGCGGCCCCCUGGACAAAGACUGACGCUCAGGUGCGAAAGCGUGGGGAGCAAACAGGAUUAGAUACCCCGGUAGUCCCUGUCUCUUAUAC
Molecule: ribosomal RNA, 304 nt
Filed under: uncultured bacterium
Lineage: Bacteria
Description: partial 16S ribosomal RNA
Rfam family: Bacterial small subunit ribosomal RNA
Source: RNAcentral